This 328-nucleotide long non-coding RNA is filed under the name Lathyrus oleraceus (garden pea). RNAcentral describes it as "Pisum sativum (pea) long non-coding RNA (PSAT_LNC002110)". The record is from RNAcentral. Lineage: Eukaryota; Viridiplantae; Streptophyta; Magnoliopsida; Fabales; Fabaceae.
AUAAACAAAAAAAUUGGAUAACAAAGGGUUUUGAACUCGGUAGUCAUGUUGUGUGAUUUUUCUUUCUUUUUUCUGUGCAUCACAUAUACUCUGGGGGUUAAUUUCACUCUUUUGACUCUUUUGACUCUUUUUCUACUCAACUUUUCCGAGCAUUUUAUAUCUGUUAGAAUCUAAGGUCUCGGCAAGUGCAUUUUUCUCUUUUGUUUUUCUUUUCUUUUUUUCCUUUUUUUUCUCUUUUUUCUUUUAAAGAAAAUACAUACUAUUUUUCUUUUUGUAUUCUCAUCUUAUGCACUUGCCUUCUCUUUCAAGAUUUCCACCCCAAACUUAG